GUAGACCAAAAUUUGGAGGGACCAUAUGAAAGAUAUUGCUUUGUAUGACCCUGGAAUCCUGGCAUGACACAGGCGUGGGGGCUGGGGAGAAUCCCAUUUCACUACUGCACACCUACAGGAGCCCAGCUCUGUGAUAGGCUUUAUGGGGAAUCUUGAACAGACCGAAGACACUGUUCUCUCUGCCUGAAGCUGUGAUCUUGUGAGGAAAGGAGGCCUGAAGAGCAGGAGACUUCUCUCUGUAGCUUCAGGACAUCAUGGGUCAAGAAAUCAGGACUGACCACAUAAUGAGAGGAGUCAUGAGAGAUCAGGCGUGUAUGUAUGAGAAGAGAACUUUCCCAGGUUAACCUCACAUCUUCCUUGGGACACACGAAGGCAUGGCAAAGCAGGAUUGCCCCCAUAGCUCUUCUCAAGCAGUUUCCCUUUCCUCAUUUCCCUUUAGUGUUACUAUCUUUCAUAAAGAAUAAAGACUUGUCAGAGCUGAAAUCCCA
RNAcentral lists this long non-coding RNA (488 nucleotides) under Homo sapiens (human). Its description in RNAcentral is "HSALNT0032157". Lineage: Eukaryota; Metazoa; Chordata; Mammalia; Primates; Hominidae. The record is from RNAcentral.